AGUGAACGCUGGCGGUAGGCCUAACACAUGCAAGUCGAACGGCAGCACAGUAAGAGCUUGCUCUUACGGGUGGCGAGUGGCGGACGGGUGAGGAAUACAUCGGAAUCUACUUUUUCGUGGGGGAUAACGUAGGGAAACUUACGCUAAUACCACAUACGACCUACGGGUGAAAGCAGGGGAUCUUCGGACCUUGCGCGAUUGAAUGAGCCGAUGUCGGAUUAGCUAGUUGGUGGGGUAAAGGCCCACCAAGGCGACGAUCCGUAGCUGGUCUGAGAGGAUGAUCAGCCACACUGGAACUGAGACACGGUCCAGACUCCUACGGGAGGCAGCAGUGGGGAAUAUUGGACAAUGGGCGCAAGCCUGAUCCAGCCAUACCGCGUGGGUGAAGAAGGCCUUCGGGUUGUAAAGCCCUUUUGUUGGGAAAGAAAAGCAGCAGGUUAAUACCCCGCUGUUCUGACGGUACCCAAAGAAUAAGCACCGGCUAACUUCGUG
This 492-nucleotide ribosomal RNA is filed under the name uncultured bacterium. RNAcentral's name for it is "partial 16S ribosomal RNA". It matches the Rfam family "Bacterial small subunit ribosomal RNA", at positions 29 to 507 of the family's 1533-position model. The record is from RNAcentral.